Long non-coding RNA from Gopherus evgoodei (Goodes thornscrub tortoise), 91 nucleotides. RefSeq lists it as uncharacterized. The transcript is spliced from 3 exons. The record is from RefSeq and is a predicted model, not a curated record. NCBI's taxonomy places the organism in Eukaryota, Metazoa, Chordata, Testudines, Testudinidae.
AGAUGCACAGAGAUGGUGGAGUGCUGUGCUGGAGGAAGGAGGGCACAAGCGACAUAACAGGCAGGAGGGAGAAAAUUGCUCAAUAGAAAAU